RNAcentral lists this non-coding RNA (23 nucleotides) under Arabidopsis thaliana (thale cress). The record is from RNAcentral. Lineage: Eukaryota; Viridiplantae; Streptophyta; Magnoliopsida; Brassicales; Brassicaceae.
AAUGGAUAGUCCCAAUUAGGCGC